Molecule: RNA transcript, 1301 nt
Organism: Carassius carassius (crucian carp)
Lineage: Eukaryota; Metazoa; Chordata; Actinopteri; Cypriniformes; Cyprinidae
Gene name: sialic acid-binding Ig-like lectin 14
Exons: 7
Source: RefSeq, a predicted model, not a curated record
ACAUGUUAAUAGGUUAAUAUAUCUGAACAUUACUGAAACCUAUACAGUGGCAGUGUCCUUGGAAAAAAAAUAUAUGUAUUGUUAAGAAAUCAAUAACCUAACUUUUUUUGUUCUUUUUCUUUUGCUGCGUUUUGGCCUCUUUAGUUUCUAGAAUCCAGUCCAGCAUGGCUGUGCGGUCAGGUGUUCUUCUGUACUGGUUUCACGUUUUUUGCGCUGGCGUGUUUGCUGAUGUCUGGAAGGUAACUGUAGAGCCUGAAAUGAAGGCUCUGGUCUCAUCUUGUGUCGUGUUGCCCUGUUCAUUCAAAUACCCCGUUCAAGAACACCCCUCUGAUCGUAUUAGAGCUAUAUGGCACACGAAGGACAACUGGAAUGAUAUUAUUUUUCACAAAGACCCUACGAAGGUUAAAGACAGUUUCAAGGGUCGUACAAAACUGAUUGGUUCACUGGGUGGUUCCAACUGCUCCUUGGAGAUUUAUGAGGUCAAAAACCACGACAACGGGCCGUAUUGUUUCAGAGUGGAAUUAGAAACAUCUAAAAAAGACAAGUACUCCUUUGUGGAAAACUGUGUGUCGAUUAAAAUGAUCGAGCAAGCAUCAAAACCAGAGCUGCAGGCCGAACAGUCUGUGCAGGAGGGUGAACCUGCAGUCUUCACAUGCUCUGUCCGGCACACCUGUCCGUCCCACCAGCCCACUCUCACCUGGAACCACACUGGAAAAGUCAUCAUGAGCUACAAGAACAUUGGUCAUGGAAACUGGGAAACACAGUCUGUACUGACCUUCACCCCUCAAAAACAGGACGAUCACAGCGCUGUCGCAUGCACAGUCAAGCAUCACGGGAAUGUCAAGGGAGAAAUGACAGAGACUCACCGUAUCUUUGUGAAAGAACAAGCAACUCUCAGCCACAUUCUCAUACCAGUAAUCUCUGGUCUUGGAUCUGCUCUUUUGUUUGGAUUACUGUGUUUCUUCAUUGCCAAGAAGAGAUACGAGUCCAGAUCUGGAGAGUUUACACCUCAAGGGCGACAGAAUGUAAUCACCAGGAAAUCACAGGAAGAAGACACACACUCCACAGUUUUGUUCAGGAGCCAGUGAACAGAGGCAAAUAGCCUAUCCAGCAGCUUCUAAUGCAUUCUUCUGCAACAAACCAGGACAAAACACCUCCUCUGAUUCCCCUCUAGGACACUUCCCUGAGCCUCCUUCACCUCCUAGGUGUCCUACGCCUCCACUGGUUCCGUCCAUCCCUUCUUCAUCUCCUGAGCACCCCGACUUAAUCCCACGGCGGGCUCCCAAUCCCCAGUUAAGCCC